ACAAGUAGUCAGAGCCCGUUAAUGGGUGAUGGCGUGCCUUUUGUAGAAUGAACCGGCGAGUUACGAUUUGAUGCAAGGUUAAGCAGUAAAUGUGGAGCCGUAGCGAAAGCGAGUCUGAAUAGGGCGUUUAGUAUUUGGUCGUAGACCCGAAACCAGGUGAUCUACCCUUGGUCAGGUUGAAGUUCAGGUAACACUGAAUGGAGGACCGAACCGACUUACGUUGAAAAGUGAGCGGAUGAACUGAGGGUAGCGGAGAAAUUCCAAUCGAACCUGGAGAUAGCUGGUUCUCUCCGAAAUAGCUUUAGGGCUAGCCUCAAGUGAUGAUUAUUGGAGGUAGAGCACUGUUUGGACGAGGGGCCCCUCUCGGGUUACCGAAUUCAGACAAACUCCGAAUGCCAAUUAAUUUAACUUGGGAGUCAGAACAUGGGUGAUAAGGUCCGUGUUCGAAAGGGAAACAGCCCAGACCACCAGCUAAGGUCCCAAAAUAUAUGUUAAGUGGAAAAGGAUGUGGCGUUGCCCAGACAACUAGGAUGUUGGCUUAGAAGCAGCCAUCAUUUAAAGAGUGCGUAAUAGCUCACUAGUCGAGUGACACUGCGCCGAAAAUGUACCGGGGCUAAACAUAUUACCGAAGCUGUGGAUUGUCCUUUGGACAAUGGUAGGAGAGCGUUCUAAGGGCGUUGAAGCAUGAUCGUAAGGACAUGUGGAGCG
RNAcentral lists this ribosomal RNA (708 nucleotides) under Staphylococcus aureus. Its description in RNAcentral is "partial 23S ribosomal RNA". It matches the Rfam family "Bacterial large subunit ribosomal RNA", at positions 566 to 1280 of the family's 2925-position model. The record is from RNAcentral. Lineage: Bacteria; Bacillati; Bacillota; Bacilli; Caryophanales; Staphylococcaceae.